RNAcentral lists this ribosomal RNA (450 nucleotides) under uncultured bacterium. Its description in RNAcentral is "bacterial SSU rRNA". It matches the Rfam family "Bacterial small subunit ribosomal RNA", at positions 335 to 799 of the family's 1533-position model. The record is from RNAcentral.
ACUCCUACGGGAGGCAGCAGUGGGGAAUCUUGGACAAUGGGCGCAAGCCUGAUCCAGCCAUGCCGCGUGAGUGAUGAAGGCCCUAGGGUCGUAAAGCUCUUUCGCCAGGGAUGAUAAUGACAGUACCUGGUAAAGAAACCCCGGCUAACUCCGUGCCAGCAGCCGCGGUAAUACGGAGGGGGUUAGCGUUGUUCGGAAUUACUGGGGCGUAAAGCGCGCGUAGGCGGACUGGAAAGUUGGGGGUGAAAUCCCGGGGGCUCAACCUCGGAACUGCCUCCAAAACUCCCAGUCUUGAGUUCGAGAGAGGUGAGUGGAAUUCCGAGUGUAGAGGUGAAAUUCGUAGAUAUUCGGAGGAACACCAGUGGCGAAGGCGGCUCACUGGCUCGAUACUGACGCUGAGGUGCGAAAGUGUGGGGAGCAAACAGGAUUAGAUACCCUGGUAGGAUAGCG